UGUGAUAUGUUAUUGUCUAUAUUGUUGUGUAGCACCAGAAGUUACAUAACAAACACCAGCUCUUCAACCUUCGGUUUAGCUAUACAGAUCAUCAUCAUCUCCAGCAGCGGUUGCUGAUGCAAAUGGAUCUGAAGCCCCUCCAGCUGCAGCAUUCUCAGUACGAUCUGAAAACCUAAAUUCAGUCCCAAAUCCACGAGAUUGCUGUAGGGUCUGCGCAAAGAGCUGAUACUUCCUGAUGUCUGCAUCGCUAACACUACGGCGGGCAAACUUCAUUGAUUCCUCAAAAUGAGCAGCCUUUAUCUCAGGGACAUCAUCAACAUCAUCUUCUUCCAUGGCCUCAGGGUUCUCUUGCUUUCUUUUCUCCCUCUCAAUAUCCUUCUCAAUAUUUUCUCUAAUAGCAUAUUUGCAAGCACGCUGGCAAAUUUCAGUUAUAUCAGCACCACUGAAACCAUGAGUGUAUCGUGCAAGAGCCGCUAGGUCAACAUCCCUACAGACAGGUGACUUGCGCAAACAUGCUUUAAAUAUCUGAAGUCGGGAAGCUUCAUCAGGUAGAGGGAUAUAAAUCAAUUGGUCCAAACGACCAGGCCUCAGCAAUGCUGGAUCAAUGAUAUCAGGUCUGUUUGUGGCCCCGAUGAUAAAAACUGUCUUCUUAGCUGUCAUCCCAUCCAUUUCUGUCAGAAGUUGGUUCAGUACUCUAUCUGCAGCACCCCCAGCAUCACCGACAGAGCUGCCACGCUGAGUUGCAAUGGAAUCAAGUUCGUCAAAGAAAAGUACACAUGGAGCAGACUGCCGUGCUUUGUCAAAUAUUUCCCGCACAUUUGCUUCACUCUCUCCAAACCACAUAGUCAGCAGCUCAGGACCUUUAACACUAAUGAAGUUGGCCUGGCAUUCAUUAGCAAUUGCUUUUGCAAGUAAGGUUUUACCACAGCCAGGGGGUCCAUAAAAGAGAACACCUUUAGAAGGUGACAUGCCAAAUUUCUCGAACUUCUCAGGAUGUUCCACAGGAUAUUGGACAGUCUCUUGAAGCUCUCUUUUAACAUUUUCCAAUCCACCAAUAUCAUCCCAUGAAACAUUAGGAACCUCUACAACUGUUUCUCGCAAGGCUGACGGAUUUGAAGAUCCCAAUGCAGUCUGGAAGUGUUCAUUGGUCACAGCCAUUGAAUUUAACACCUCAGCGUCAAUUGUCUCAUCCUCCAAGUCAAUAACAUCCAUUUUCUCCCUAAUACACUGAAGAGCAGCCUCUGUGCAGAGGGCAGCAAGAUCUGAACCAACAUAACCAUGGGUAUCUUUUGCAACUCGUUCAAGAUCAACAUCUUCAGCAAGUUUCAUAUUUUUAGUAUGGAUUCUGAGGAUUUCCAAACGUCCAACUUCAUCUGGCACACCAAUGUCAAUCUCUCUAUCAAAUCUCCCAAACCUCCUCAGGGCUGGGUCAAUGCUGUUGGGCCUAUUAGUAGCUCCAAUAACAAUCACAUGUGCUCGGCUCUUUAGGCCAUCCAUUAAAGUCAAAAGUUGUGAUACUAUACGCCUCUCCACCUCACCCUGAGUCUUCUCCCUCUUUGGAGCAAUAGAAUCAAUCUCAUCUAUAAAGAUUAUGGAUGGAGCAUUCUUUUCAGCUUCCUCAAACGCCUUUCUUAAGUUGCUCUCACUCUCACCAGCCAACUUUGACAUUAUCUCAGGGCCAUUAAUUAAAAAGAAGAAUGCACCAGUCUCGUUUGCCACAGCUCUUGCAAUCAGAGUUUUUCCAGACCCAGGAGGCCCAUAUAAUAAAAUACCUUUUGGGGGCUUCACACCAAUUGAUUUGAAAAGCUGUGGGUGCCUAAGGGGAAGUUCUACAAGUUCACGAAUUUGAGCCAUUUGCUUCCUGACACCACCAACAUCAUCAUAACCCACUUCAUUCAACCGCUCCUCAUCCUCACGCUUGAUAGGCUCUCCUUCACAGAAGAUUUCAGUGUCUGGCGCAACAACACAAUAUUCACCAGGGUCUGUCUCAAUCACUUUAAAUUCAACACUGCGCAUACCACCCCUGACCAGAAAAAGGUCACCCUUCCUCACAGGCCGGUAAGAUUCCAAGAAAUAUGGUUUCAAAUAUGCAUCAAACAAAUUGCCCGUAACACCCUCAAUAGUGUCAUCAAUUGGAAGGAUGUGAACCCGCUUCCCAUACUUCACGUCCGGACACUGAUGGACAGAGACCACAUCUCCAAGGCGUACUCUAAGAUUAGCUCUGACAACUUUGUUCACUCUGAUUUUCGGUUCUUCACAUUGUUCAUCAGCAAGAACAACACAAACUGUGUCUCUUCUCUUUUUUCCCUUAAUUAGCACAGUGUCUCCUCGAAAAAACUGAAGCAUUUCCAUGGUAGCAGGAUGAAUAAGGACCACAGAAUUGUCAUCAUUAAUGGCCUCGUCAACAACAAGACGGUUGGGAGACUUCUUUCGCUCCAAAAUUGCAGUUGAAUAAUCUUUCUUACCGCUUUUCGGGUCGGAGGAAGAGGAGGGCUGGGUAGAGUUUGGAUCGGCCAUUAAUAAAAGGUAUUAUCCUUUGUGGAGAAUUGUGUUAGAAAACCUGCGUUUGUAAGUUUGGAACUGGAGCGAAG
This 2591-nucleotide unclassified non-coding RNA is filed under the name Hevea brasiliensis (rubber tree). Lineage: Eukaryota; Viridiplantae; Streptophyta; Magnoliopsida; Malpighiales; Euphorbiaceae. The record is from RNAcentral.